AGAGGGUGCAAGCGUUAAUCGGAAUGACUGGGCGUAAAGGGCGCGUAGGCGGAUAAUUGAGUUAGAUGUGAAAUACCAGGGCUCAACCUUGGGAAGUCAUUUAAUACUGGUUAUCUAGAGUAGAGUAGAGGGGAGUGGAAUUUCCGGUGUAGCGGUGAAAUGCGUAGAUAUCGGAAAGAACACCAGUGGCGAAGGCGACUCUCUGGGCUCAUACUGACGCUGAGGCGCGAAAGCGUGGGUAGCGAACAGGAUUAGAUACCCUGGUAGUCCACGCUGUAAACGAUGAAGACUAGAUGUUGGUAGGUAAAACCUAUCGGUAUCGCAGCUAACGCGAUAAGUCUUCCGCCUGGGAGUACGGCCGCAAGGUUA
RNAcentral lists this ribosomal RNA (369 nucleotides) under uncultured organism. RNAcentral describes it as "partial 16S ribosomal RNA". It matches the Rfam family "Bacterial small subunit ribosomal RNA", at positions 527 to 896 of the family's 1533-position model. The record is from RNAcentral.